This 761-nucleotide long non-coding RNA is filed under the name Vulpes vulpes (red fox). RNAcentral's name for it is "lncRNA (ENSVVUG00000030148.1)". Lineage: Eukaryota; Metazoa; Chordata; Mammalia; Carnivora; Canidae. The record is from RNAcentral.
CUGCUGCCACAUAUCCAACCAUCAGGAAUGAGGAGCAAUGGAGUUCUUCAUACGGUACAACCCCUUGAGGAAACCAACCACCUACUUGGUGGCUAAAUGAUUAUAUCAGACCCCUUCAUGCUGUAAAGAGCAACAAUUCAUCCUGGGCAUAUUUAUCAUAACCUGAGGAGCCUCUGAUAUAGUCAGGGUUAUAGUUUGUUCUAGAAACUCUCCUCUUACAAGUAACCAGAAACUGCACCAGUCAGAAUCCUGGAAGACCUGCAACCAGAUGGAGUCACAUGGACAUAGGAAGAAUCAGCUCUGAGUGGUACAAAUGGUAAACUGGAGUCUGCUUUGUGUGCUGGAGUUCCCAUGUUGGCUGCCAAUGACUCACACCUAUGCUGUUUCCUAGAGGCUUGCAUUUGGCUGAAGGAAACUGCCUAAGUCACACAUGGCUGGGAUAUUAAACCACUUCCCACCCAAGUGUACAGAGGCCUCUGUCCAGCCACCACCAACAUUUCUCAGCCUGUUUUGCAAUAGAGGGGCCACAGGAAUAGUUCUCAGCAAUGGAAUGGGAGACAAGCUGGCAGCUGCCACAGAAAAUAUCAAUUCUGCUGACUCCUUUGGGAGUUUGCUCACUUGGAAAGAAACUCAAAAGGGCAAACCUUGGCAGCUCUCUUUCCUCUGCUUGGCUUAACUAUAAGAUAAACCCUAACACGUAAGAAGCACUCAAUAGAUAUUUACUGAAUAAAUGAAAUGAAGCCUGGAAGAAAAUUUUAUUA